UACAGAGGUCUCAAGCGUUGUUCGGAUUCAUUGGGCGUAAAGGGUGCGUAGGCGGCUCGGUAAGUCGGGUGUGAAAUUUCGAGGCUUAACUUCGAAACUGCAUUCGAUACUGCCGUGCUUGAGGACUGGAGAGGAGGCUGGAAUUUACGGUGUAGCGGUGAAAUGCGUAGAUAUCGUAAGGAAGACCAGUGGCGAAGGCGGGUCUCUGGACAGUUCCUGACGCUGAGGCACGAAGGCCAGGGGAGCAAGCGGG
Molecule: ribosomal RNA, 253 nt
Filed under: uncultured bacterium
Lineage: Bacteria
Description: partial 16S ribosomal RNA
Rfam family: Bacterial small subunit ribosomal RNA
Source: RNAcentral